GAUGAACGCUGGCGGCGUGCCUAAUACAUGCAAGUCGAGCGAACAGACGAGGAGCUUGCUCCUCUGACGUUAGCGGCGGACGGGUGAGUAACACGUGGAUAACCUACCUAUAAGACUGGGAUAACUUCGGGAAACCGGAGCUAAUACCGGAUAAUAUAUUGAACCGCAUGGUUCAAUAGUGAAAGACGGUUUUGCUGUCACUUAUAGAUGGAUCCGCGCCGCAUUAGCUAGUUGGUAAGGUAACGGCUUACCAAGGCAACGAUGCGUAGCCGACCUGAGAGGGGGGUCGGCCACACUGGAACUGAGACAGGGUCCAGACUCCUACGGGAGGCAGCAGUAGGGAAUCUUCCGCAAUGGGCGAAAGCCUGACGGAGCAACGCCGCGUGAGUGAUGAAGGUCUUCGGAUCGUAAAACUCUGUUAUUAGGGAAGAACAAAUGUGUAAGUAACUGUGCACGUCUUGACGGUACCUAAUCAGAAAGCCACGGCUAACUACGUG
Molecule: ribosomal RNA, 497 nt
Filed under: uncultured bacterium
Lineage: Bacteria
Description: partial 16S ribosomal RNA
Rfam family: Bacterial small subunit ribosomal RNA
Source: RNAcentral